ACUUUUCUGAAGACCAGCCAGAGCAAGGAAGAACAGGAGGGCAGGGGCUAAGGAGAGAGGGAAGAGAAGAUCCAAAUCUAAUUGCAUUGGCCUUCAGCCUCACUAGGGCUCCAUGCUCCCAGAGGUGGUGAUACACUUGUAUUCAGCAGCCGUCACUGAUCUUGCUUGUAAAAGUCCUAUUUCGACAUGGGCGUGCUUUCCUGAGGUUUGAGUCUCUGGAAUUACCCUAAUUUUCCUCUGGAUUUUGCAGUUAUGGAGAUCUGAGAACACCCCACUGGCUGGAAUGAUGCCUCCCAUGCAAAGGAGUGUUAACUAAUUUAGUUUUCCCAGUUGGAAUACCACAACCUAAACAUAUGGAUUUAUCUUGAAACCAGGAAGCCUGACAUACACUGCUGCCAAAACAAAGGAGAAAAUGCAACGUUUUGUCCUGUAAUGAGACAGCAAAGAAGCGCGGGUCCAGAAGCAUCUCUACUGCAUCUCUUAAUGGACCAAAUGUUUGUGUCCCCCAAAAUGUCUAUGUUGAAGCCCUAACCUCGACGUGACUGUAUUUGGAGGAAUGCACAUCAAUAGCAGGUUAAACAAUGGUGGCGCUUCUGUGCAAUGGGACACCGUGGUGGCGUAAAAGGAGAGAAGCAGCUUUACGUGGACUGAUGUGGAAAGGUGCCCACUAUUGAGCCAAGUUGAAAAAAAGAAGGCAAAGUGAAAGCAGCAUUAUGUAU
Molecule: long non-coding RNA, 719 nt
Filed under: Equus caballus (horse)
Lineage: Eukaryota; Metazoa; Chordata; Mammalia; Perissodactyla; Equidae
Description: lncRNA (ENSECAG00000050760.1)
Source: RNAcentral